RNAcentral lists this ribosomal RNA (253 nucleotides) under uncultured bacterium. Its description in RNAcentral is "partial 16S ribosomal RNA". It matches the Rfam family "Bacterial small subunit ribosomal RNA", at positions 524 to 776 of the family's 1533-position model. The record is from RNAcentral.
UACGUAGGGUGCAAGCGUUAAUCGGAAUUACUGGGCGUAAAGCGUGCGUAGGCGGUUCGUUGUGUCUGUGGUGAAAGCCCCGGGCUUAACCUGGGAAUGGCCAUGGAAACUGGCGAGCUGGAGUGUGGCAGAGGGGGGUGGAAUUCCGCGUGUAGCAGUGAAAUGCGUAGAGAUGCGGAGGAACACCGAUGGCGAAGGCAGCCCCCUGGGCUAACACUGACGCUGAGGCACGAAAGCGUGGGGAGCAAACAGG